RNAcentral lists this ribosomal RNA (1312 nucleotides) under Escherichia coli. Its description in RNAcentral is "partial 23S ribosomal RNA". It matches the Rfam family "Bacterial large subunit ribosomal RNA", at positions 165 to 1520 of the family's 2925-position model. Lineage: Bacteria; Pseudomonadati; Pseudomonadota; Gammaproteobacteria; Enterobacterales; Enterobacteriaceae. The record is from RNAcentral.
CAUAGGUUAAUGAGGCGAACCGGGGGAACUGAAACAUCUAAGUACCCCGAGGAAAAGAAAUCAACCGAGAUUCCCCCAGUAGCGGCGAGCGAACGGGGAGCAGCCCAGAGCCUGAAUCAGUGUGUGUGUUAGUGGAAGCGUCUGGAAAGGCGCGCGAUACAGGGUGACAGCCCCGUACACAAAAAUGCACAUACUGUGAGCUCGAUGAGUAGGGCGGGACACGUGGUAUCCUGUCUGAAUAUGGGGGGACCAUCCUCCAAGGCUAAAUACUCCUGACUGACCGAUAGUGAACCAGUACCGUGAGGGAAAGGCGAAAAGAACCCCGGCGAGGGGAGUGAAAAAGAACCUGAAACCGUGUACGUACAAGCAGUGGGAGCACGCUUAGGCGUGUGACUGCGUACCUUUUGUAUAAUGGGUCAGCGACUUAUAUUCUGUAGCAAGGUUAACCGAAUAGGGGAGCCGAAGGGAAACCGAGUCUUAACUGGGCGUUAAGUUGCAGGGUAUAGACCCGAAACCCGGUGAUCUAGCCAUGGGCAGGUUGAAGGUUGGGUAACACUAACUGGAGGACCGAACCGACUAAUGUUGAAAAAUUAGCGGAUGACUUGUGGCUGGGGGUGAAAGGCCAAUCAAACCGGGAGAUAGCUGGUUCUCCCCGAAAGCUAUUUAGGUAGCGCCUCGUGAAUUCAUCUCCGGGGGUAGAGCACUGUUUCGGCAAGGGGGUCAUCCCGACUUACCAACCCGAUGCAAACUGCGAAUACCGGAGAAUGUUAUCACGGGAGACACACGGCGGGUGCUAACGUCCGUCGUGAAGAGGGAAACAACCCAGACCGCCAGCUAAGGUCCCAAAGUCAUGGUUAAGUGGGAAACGAUGUGGGAAGGCCCAGACAGCCAGGAUGUUGGCUUAGAAGCAGCCAUCAUUUAAAGAAAGCGUAAUAGCUCACUGGUCGAGUCGGCCUGCGCGGAAGAUGUAACGGGGCUAAACCAUGCACCGAAGCUGCGGCAGCGACGCUGAUGCGUUGUUGGGUAGGGGAGCGUUCUGUAAGCCUGUGAAGGUGUGCUGUGAGGCAUGCUGGAGGUAUCAGAAGUGCGAAUGCUGACAUAAGUAACGAUAAAGCGGGUGAAAAGCCCGCUCGCCGGAAGACCAAGGGUUCCUGUCCAACGUUAAUCGGGGCAGGGUGAGUCGACCCCUAAGGCGAGGCCGAAAGGCGUAGUCGAUGGGAAACAGGUUAAUAUUCCUGUACUUGGUGUUACUGCGAAGGGGGGACGGAGAAGGCUAUGUUGGCCGGGCGACGGUUGUCCCGGUUUAAGCGUG